GUGUGAAUUGCAGAAUCCCGUGAACCAUCGAGUCUUUGAACGCAAGUUGCGCCCGAAGCCAUUAGGCUAAGGGCACGCCUGCCUGGGUGUCACCAAUCGUUGCCCCAACCCCUGUGCCCGUGGGCACGGGCUGGGGCGAAUGUUGGCUUCCCGCGAGCACCGCCUCGCGGUUGGUUGAAAAUCGGGCUCGUGGUGGAUUCAGCGCCAUGACAGAUGGUGGUUGAGUAUGUUCUCGAGGCCAGUCAUGCCCGCGACCUCCACCAGUUCCGCGCCCAGUGACCCGCGAGCGACGUCGAUCGCCCAUGACGCGACCUCAGGUCAGGCGGGGCUAC
This 332-nucleotide ribosomal RNA is filed under the name Dalbergia stipulacea. RNAcentral describes it as "eukaryotic LSU rRNA". The stretch from base 1 to 92 matches the Rfam family "5.8S ribosomal RNA", at positions 65 to 154 of the family's 154-position model. Lineage: Eukaryota; Viridiplantae; Streptophyta; Magnoliopsida; Fabales; Fabaceae. The record is from RNAcentral.